UUCGAGUGGCGGACGGGUGAGUAACGCGUGGGUAACCUGCCUUACACAGGGGGAUAACACCUGGAAACAGGUGCUAAUACCGCAUAAGCGCACAGGGCCGCAUGGCCCGGUGUGAAAAACUCCGGUGGUGUAAGAUGGACCCGCGUCUGAUUAGCUUGUUGCGGGGUAGGGGCCCACCAAGGCGACGAUCAGUAGCCGGCCUGAGAGGGUGGACGGCCACAUUGGGACUGAGACACGGCCCAAACUCCUACGGAAGGCAGCAG
RNAcentral lists this ribosomal RNA (263 nucleotides) under uncultured bacterium. RNAcentral describes it as "partial 16S ribosomal RNA". It matches the Rfam family "Bacterial small subunit ribosomal RNA", at positions 90 to 354 of the family's 1533-position model. The record is from RNAcentral.